Molecule: long non-coding RNA, 412 nt
Organism: Glycine soja
Lineage: Eukaryota; Viridiplantae; Streptophyta; Magnoliopsida; Fabales; Fabaceae
Exons: 5
Source: RefSeq, a predicted model, not a curated record
AGAAAAGAGAAUAGAGAGGGCAACCGAGUCUUCAUCUUCGACUCACCAUGAAGCUCAUCAAGUUCAAUUCUAGCAACAUUACGCUCAUUUGUCAAAGUGUAUUUUACUGAUUAAGAUGGGGGCUACUUAGUACCAGGUUGCCCUCCUAUUCUCAGCCUCAUCAACUACACGUGUUCAUCUAACAAACAUCUCAAUGUGACCAAUACGGGUUUCCUCUGCAGCCUACACCUGUCAUCACUGCCAAUGAAUUAAUACAGUGAGCAUAUCUAUAUAAGAAAAGAGAAUAGAGAGCGCAACCAAGUCUUCAUCUUCGACUCACCAUGAAGCUCGUCAAGUUCAAUUCUAGCAACAUUACGCUCAUUUGUCAAAGUGUAUUUUACUACUUAGUACCAGGUUGCCCUCCUAUUCUCAG